Molecule: ribosomal RNA, 557 nt
Filed under: Pichia occidentalis
Lineage: Eukaryota; Fungi; Ascomycota; Pichiomycetes; Pichiales; Pichiaceae
Description: eukaryotic LSU rRNA
Rfam family: Eukaryotic large subunit ribosomal RNA
Source: RNAcentral
GAGCCCUUUUUGCAUUUCAAUAAGGGGAGGAAAAGAGACCAACAGGGAUUGCCUCAGUAGCGGCGAGUGAAGCGUGCAAAAGCUCAGAUUUGAAAUCGUGUUUCGGCACGAGUUGUAGAUUGCAGGUUGGAGUCUUUGUGGAAGCGUGUGUCUAAGUCCCUUGGAACAGGGUGCCAUUGAGGGUGAGAGCCCCGUGAGACGCGUGCGGAAGCUGUAAGGCCCUUCUGACGAGUCGAGUUGUUUGGGAAUGCAGCUCUAAGUGGGUGGUAAAUUCCAUCUAAGGCUAAAUAUUGGCGAGAGACCGAUAGCGAACAAGUACUGUGAAGGAAAGAUGAAAAGCACUUUGAAAAGAGAGUGAAACAGCACGUGAAAUUGUUGAAAGGGAAGGGUAUUGGGCUCGACAUGGGAUUUGCGCACCGCUGCUCCUUGUGGGCGGCGCUCUGUGCUUUUCCUGGGCCAGCAUCGGUUUUUGCCGCAGGAGAAGGCGUGCUGGAAUGUGGCUCUUCGGAGUGUUAUAGCCAGUGCGAGAUGCUGCGUGCGGGGACCGAGGACUGCGA